GUACUUGCUUUGGCAGCACAUAUACUAAAGUCGGAAUGAUGCAGAGAAGAUUAGCGUGGCCUCUGCACAAAGAUGUCAUGCAAGUUCAUGAAAGCGUUCCAUAUUUUU
Molecule: small nuclear RNA, 108 nt
Filed under: Prolemur simus (greater bamboo lemur)
Lineage: Eukaryota; Metazoa; Chordata; Mammalia; Primates; Lemuridae
Source: RNAcentral